This 408-nucleotide ribosomal RNA is filed under the name uncultured Actinomycetes bacterium. RNAcentral's name for it is "bacterial SSU rRNA". It matches the Rfam family "Bacterial small subunit ribosomal RNA", at positions 9 to 420 of the family's 1533-position model. Lineage: Bacteria; Bacillati; Actinomycetota; Actinomycetes. The record is from RNAcentral.
GAGUUUGAUCUUGGCUCAGGACGAACGCUGGCGGCGUGCUUAACACGUGCAAGUCGAGCGGAAAGGCCCUUUCGGGGGUACUCGAGCGGCGAACGGGUGAGUAACACGUGAGUAACCUGCCCUGGACUUUGGGAUAACCCUCGGAAACGGGGGCUAAUACCGAAUAUUACUGCUGGCCGCAUGGUUGGUGGUGGAAAGUUUUUCGGUCUGGGAUGGGCUCGCGGCCUAUCAGCUUGUUGGUGGGGUGAUGGCCUACCAAGGCGACGACGGGUAGCCGGCCUGAGAGGGCGACCGGCCACACUGGGACUGAGACACGGCCCAGACUCCUACGGGAGGCAGCAGUGGGGAAUAUUGCACAAUGGGCGGAAGCCUGAUGCAGCGACGCCGCGUGAGGGAUGACGGCCUCGG